UGAUCGAACAGAUCAAAAUUUUAAACUUUUGCAUUUAAAUUUUAUCUUAAUCCAACAUCGAGGUCGCAAACUUUUUUUUUUAUUUGAGCUAAAAAAAAAUAUUACGCUGUUAUCCCUAAGGUAAUUUUUUCUUAUAAUCAUUAUUAAUGGAUCAUUUAAUCAUUUAUUUAUGUUUAAUUUUUAAAAAAAGUUCAUUAAAUUUUUCUAUCACCCCAAUAUAAUAUUUAAUUUUAUUUUAAUAAAAAAUUUAAUAUAAUUUUAAAAUAAAAAUAAAUAUAAAACUCUAUAGGGUCUUCUCGUCUUUUAAAAUUAUUUUAGCUUUUUAACUAAAAAAUAAAAUUCUAAAAAUAAAUAAGAGACAGUCUAUAUUUCAUCAAAUCUUUCAUACAAGUUUUCAAUUAAAAAACUAUUGAUUAUGCUACCUUUGUACAGUCAUUAUACUGCAGCCCUUUAAUAAUUAUCAGUGGGCAGAUUAGACUUUAAAUUAUAAUCAAAAAGACAUGUUUUUG
RNAcentral lists this ribosomal RNA (509 nucleotides) under Davidina sculda. RNAcentral's name for it is "partial 16S rRNA". The record is from RNAcentral. Lineage: Eukaryota; Metazoa; Arthropoda; Insecta; Lepidoptera; Nymphalidae.